This 250-nucleotide ribosomal RNA is filed under the name uncultured prokaryote. RNAcentral describes it as "partial 16S ribosomal RNA". It matches the Rfam family "Bacterial small subunit ribosomal RNA", at positions 524 to 773 of the family's 1533-position model. The record is from RNAcentral.
UACGUAUGGAGCAAGCGUUAUCCGGAUUUACUGGGUGUAAAGGGAGCGUAGACGGGGAUGCAAGUCUGAUGUGAAAGGCCACGGCUCAACUGUGGGACUGCAUUGGAAACUGUAUGUCUUGAGUACCGGAGGGGUAAGCGGAAUUCCUAGUGUAGCGGUGAGAUGCGUAGAUAUUAGGAGGAACACCAGUGGCGAAGGCGGCUUACUGGACGGUAACUGACGUUGAGGCUCGAAAGCGUGGGGAGCAAAC